CGUAUCUGGCCCUCGCCAAGCCGAAGCUGCUUAUGCUGCCGCCUGUGAGACAGAGCCCACAUUGCAGCAUGAAGAGGCUUAAAAUAAGACAUUAUUGUGUCUUGUCCUUCACCCAUAUGAAUAAUGACUGCUGUUGUCCCGGAGACCGUCGCUGACACACUCUGCAAGCACGAAAAACACAAAAUGCUGCUGCUAAAGAACACGGCUGUCCAUGAAGUGCUGUGUCCAUUAAGGGAAAGUUGGUGGUAGAGUAAACACAGCCUAAUUAAGGAUUUUAUUAAGCAUCAUUGCUGGUAUUCUGUAUUUUUUAUUAGUCUCAGGUCAUUUCUAAUUUUCAUACAAGCAAAAUCUGGAGUUUUCAUUUAGCAAUGCUAACAGAAAUAGAAACGUAUGCAUGAAACAUAUAGCUUUGUGUAUAAAGGCUCCAUAUAAUGUAUUCAUGUACCUUUAAUAAAUACUGGAAAUUCACUAAAAUGUCUCAUGUCACUUAAUUCCUCAUCGAAUUAGCAUAACAGAGCAACCAUAACUAGCCCCUUAGCCACUAGCGGAACAAGUCAGCGUAUGUCUUGAUUUUUACCCAGGAAGCAUUUCGGCUAAACCGUUAGUGAAACAGCCAUUGGGGCUGACUAGUAUAUAUAGUCCAUGGGCCAGACCAUUUUUUUGUCUAUUUCAGGGUGGCAAAGUCUAUCAAUGUUUUUUGAAAAGAUACAUGUCUCUAGUUAAUAU
Poecilia reticulata (guppy) is the source of this 726-nucleotide non-coding RNA. Lineage: Eukaryota; Metazoa; Chordata; Actinopteri; Cyprinodontiformes; Poeciliidae. The record is from RefSeq and is a predicted model, not a curated record.